AGCGAACGCUGGCGGCAGGCUUAACACAUGCAAGUCGAACGGGCGUAGCAAUACGUCAGUGGCAGACGGGUGAGUAACGCGUGGGAACGUACCUUUUGGUUCGGAACAACACAGGGAAACUUGUGCUAAUACCGGAUAAGCCCUUACGGGGAAGAUUAUCGCCGAAAGAUCGGCCCGCGUCUGAUUAGCUAGUUGGUGAGGUAAUGGCUCACCAAGGCGACGAUCAGUAGCUGGUCUGAGAGGAUGAUCAGCCACACUGGGACUGAGACACGGCCCAGACUCCUACGGGAGGCAGCAGUGGGGAAUAUUGGACAAUGGGGGCGAACCCUCGAUCCAGCCAUGCCGCGUGAGUGAUGAAGGCCCUAGGGUUGUAAAGCUCUUUGUUGCGGGAAGAUAAUGACGGUACCGCAAGAAUAAGCCCCGGCCUAACUUCGUG
Molecule: ribosomal RNA, 436 nt
Filed under: uncultured bacterium
Lineage: Bacteria
Description: bacterial SSU rRNA
Rfam family: Bacterial small subunit ribosomal RNA
Source: RNAcentral